Long non-coding RNA from Sapajus apella (tufted capuchin), 101 nucleotides. RefSeq lists it as uncharacterized. Lineage: Eukaryota; Metazoa; Chordata; Mammalia; Primates; Cebidae. The transcript is spliced from 3 exons. The record is from RefSeq and is a predicted model, not a curated record.
GUGAUAGUAAGUUCUCAUGGUAUCUGGUUGUUUAAAAGUGUAUAGCACUUGCCCCUUCUCUCUAUCUUGCCACUGUGUGAAAAUGCACACCCGAGUCUCAG